RNAcentral lists this ribosomal RNA (1339 nucleotides) under Stenotrophomonas maltophilia. Its description in RNAcentral is "partial 23S ribosomal RNA". It matches the Rfam family "Bacterial large subunit ribosomal RNA", at positions 1605 to 2925 of the family's 2925-position model. The record is from RNAcentral. Lineage: Bacteria; Pseudomonadati; Pseudomonadota; Gammaproteobacteria; Lysobacterales; Lysobacteraceae.
CUUCCAGGAAAAGCUCCUAAGCUUCAGCUUACGCAGACCGUACCGUAAACCGACACAGGUGGGUAGGAUGAGAAUUCUCAGGCGCUUGAGAGAACUCGGGUGAAGGAACUAGGCAACAUGGCACCGUAACUUCGGGAGAAGGUGCACCCUUUUUGGUGGCUCGUGCGAGCUAUAGCUGAAGAGGGUCGCAGUAACCAGGCCGCUGCGACUGUUUAUCAAAAACACAGCACUCUGCAAACACGAAAGUGGACGUAUAGGGUGUGACGCCUGCCCGGUGCUGGAAGGUUAAUUGAUGGGGUCAGCCGCAAGGCGAAGCUCUUGAUCGAAGCCCCAGUAAACGGCGGCCGUAACUAUAACGGUCCUAAGGUAGCGAAAUUCCUUGUCGGGUAAGUUCCGACCUGCACGAAUGGCGUAACGACAGCGGCGCUGUCUCCACCCGAGACUCAGUGAAAUUGAAAUCGCUGUGAAGAUGCAGCGUUCCCGUGGCAAGACGGAAAGACCCCGUGAACCUUUACUAUAGCUUUACACUGAACGUUGAGUUCGUCUGUGUAGGAUAGGUGGGAGGCUAUGAAACCAUGGCGCUAGCUGUGGCGGAGCCAUCCUUGAAAUACCACCCUGUCGUGCUUGACGUUCUAACCUGGGCCCAUUAUCUGGGUCGGGGACCGUGUAUGGUGGGUAGUUUGACUGGGGCGGUCUCCUCCUAAAGAGUAACGGAGGAGCUCGAAGGUACGCUCAGCGCGGUCGGACAUCGCGCACUGUGUGCAAAGGCAUAAGCGUGCUUGACUGCAAGAUCGACGGAUCAAGCAGGUAGGAAACUAGGACUUAGUGAUCCGGUGGUUCUGUAUGGAAGGGCCAUCGCUCAACGGAUAAAAGGUACUCCGGGGAUAACAGGCUGAUACCGCCCAAGAGUUCAUAUCGACGGCGGUGUUUGGCACCUCGAUGUCGGCUCAUCACAUCCUGGGGCUGUAGUCGGUCCCAAGGGUAUGGCUGUUCGCCAUUUAAAGUGGUACGCGAGCUGGGUUCAGAACGUCGUGAGACAGUUCGGUCCCUAUCUGCCAUGGGCGUUGGAGAUUUGAGAGGGGCUGCUCCUAGUACGAGAGGACCGGAGUGGACGAACCUCUGGUGUUCCGGUUGUCACGCCAGUGGCAUUGCCGGGUAGCUAUGUUCGGAAGCGAUAACCGCUGAAAGCAUCUAAGCGGGAAGCGCGCCUCAAGAUGAGAUCUCCCGGGGCACAAGCCCCCUGAAGGAACCAUGUAGACUACGUGGUUGAUAGGUCAGGUGUGUAAGUACAGCAAUGUAUUGAGCUAACUGAUACUAAUGAUCCGUGCGGCUUGACCAU